UUUGUAAAGAGUCUUGAUUGGAUGAAAAUUGGUCCAAAGAUGUUAGAGAAUUGUUGGAAAGAUCCAAAUAUUGCAAACUUUUCUUCCACACCCAAUUUGGUACGGCCCCGCUUAUUUGGUUGUUUGAAAGGUCAAGUUCUUCUAAGCUCUCUUGACUCUUUAGAAAUGCUGGAAACGUACUUAUAUUACAGGAUCUCAAACGCAACGAAAUCAGCAUUGGAAAGGAGGAAUUUGCAUCAUCAAAAGGAAACUGAUUCGGAAUGUCAAUCGCAUUGGAAGAAAGGUCUAAUAUUUCAAGUGUGCUCUUCCACAACCAAUUUGGUACUGCCCCGCUUAUUUGGUUAUUUGAAAGGUCAAGUUCUUCUAAGCUCUCUUGACUCUUUAGAAAUGCUGGAAACGUACUUAUAUUACAAGAUGCCAACAACAAAAAUCUCAGCAUUGGAAAGGAGGAAUUUGCAUCAUCAAAAGGAAACUGAUUCGGAAUGUCAAUCGCAUUGGAAGAAAGGUCUACCGAUAUAAGUGUGCUCUUCCACAACCAAUUUGGUACUGCCCCGCUUAUUUGGUUAUUUGAAAGGUAAAGAUAUUCUAAGCUCUCUUGACUCUUUAGAAAUGCUGGAAACGUACUUAUAUUACAAGAUUCCAAAAACAACGAUCUCAGCAUUGGAAAGGAGGAAUUUGCAUCAUCAAAAGGAAACUGAUUCGGAAUGUCAAUCGCAUUGGAAGAAAG
Molecule: long non-coding RNA, 727 nt
Filed under: Gossypium barbadense (sea-island cotton)
Lineage: Eukaryota; Viridiplantae; Streptophyta; Magnoliopsida; Malvales; Malvaceae
Description: long non-coding RNA (GBAR_LNC009236)
Source: RNAcentral